RNAcentral lists this ribosomal RNA (253 nucleotides) under uncultured bacterium. Its description in RNAcentral is "partial 16S ribosomal RNA". It matches the Rfam family "Bacterial small subunit ribosomal RNA", at positions 524 to 776 of the family's 1533-position model. The record is from RNAcentral.
UACGAAGGGGGCUAGCGUUGUUCGGAAUUACUGGGCGUAAAGCGCGCGCAGGUGGUCUUUCAAGUCAGUGGUGAAAGCCCGGAGCUCAACUCUGGAAAUGCCAUUGAAACUGUGAGACUUGAGGACGAGAGAGGUGAGUGGAAUUCCCAGUGUAGAGGUGAAAUUCGUAGAUAUUGGGAAGAACACCGGUGGCGAAGGCGGCUCACUGGCUCGUAUCUGACGCUCAGGCGCGACAGCGUGGGGAUCAAACAGG